AGCCUAGGCCUGCUGGAAGUCAUGUGAACUAUAAAGUCCAGUUCUAGCAGCUCUUGCCAGUCCACUCAGUUUCUUCCAUUGCUGGUAGUCAGUGGCCUCUCAUGCUGCCCUAGAGUCAAGAGGGCUUCCCAAGACUACCCUCAAGGAUCACAGAGGCAAUCCUCCGAGUUCUUCUCCAACCAUGGCACAGCCCCUCACCCGCUGCUUGCCAAGGCCUUCACACAAGCAACACAUGGCCAGGUUCCCUUGGGCAGUGACAGUAUUAGGAAGGACAGCAAUAAGGAUAUGGCAACAACAGCAUUAAGAACUUGUCAUGUUUUCAAUAAAAGGGGAAAGAGAUCAUAGCAUUCAAA
RNAcentral lists this long non-coding RNA (353 nucleotides) under Rattus norvegicus (Norway rat). RNAcentral's name for it is "long non-coding RNA NONRATT003432". The record is from RNAcentral. Lineage: Eukaryota; Metazoa; Chordata; Mammalia; Rodentia; Muridae.